Long non-coding RNA from Photinus pyralis (common eastern firefly), 3610 nucleotides. RefSeq lists it as uncharacterized. The transcript has 3 exons. Lineage: Eukaryota; Metazoa; Arthropoda; Insecta; Coleoptera; Lampyridae. The record is from RefSeq and is a predicted model, not a curated record.
AGAAAACUCAACGAAAUUAUUGCAUAAAUAUCGAUUUCAAAAUCUCAAAAUGUAGUAGAAUUCAUUUUUGGACUACCCAGAAAAAUCCUGCGUACGUGCAAUGAUCCUUAUGGUUCAGGUAAUAAGACUGAAGACAAGAUUUUCUUCGCUCAGACGCUCGAAUGGAAAAAGCACACACUAAAUCUUGAAAAUUGUAGAGGAAGUUACGGCAUGCACACACAGACCAAUAGAGAAAGUGGUUCAUGGUUGUAGUGUAAGCUAAAAACCUUUUGUAGAGGAUUUGAGGCUUUACAAGCCUUCAUGAAACUUCGAGUUUUUCUUCAAUAAAUCUCAAACAAAGCUUAUUUGAGAGCGUUUUAAGACUCAUCAAGAGAAAUCUCUUGCUUUCUUGAGAUUUUAGGCUCUUCAAAAACCUUUAAGGGUACCUAUUUGAACUUAAAAGGCUUUAUUAGAGUUUAGCAGCUGCUAAGGACACAUAUUCGCAUUAGUGCCCUUUAGAUUCUUCAACAAGCCUUUAACGUACCUUUUUAGUUUUUGAUAGUCUUAUAUUUAAAAUCCGAAGCUAAAACGCCUUUACUUUUCUCCAGUUUUAGGGAACCGCAUUUACGGGUUUUUAAAGGUCUGUGAGAGUCUUUAAGUAUCGCCAACAGUUUCUAAAGAAACCUAGAAACUCCAUGCAUCUUUUAGAGGCAUACAGAGAGUUCAAUUAGCUUUUUGUGCCGUUGAAAGCUCUUAUGACCUUUUCAAAUUUUUAAUAAGUAAGUUUUGUUCAAAAGACCUUUAAAAACAUUUAAGAACGUAUAAGAACUGAGCUUUUAAAGAGUAUUAUGAGAACUUUAAGGGCCUGUGAGAAUCGCCGAUAAUGUCAAAGAACCUCCAAAUACGUUUGUGGGUUUCCAAAAGCUUUCUAGAUUGCUUUAGUGUAGUGUGUAAAACUGUAAUCCCUAUACAACAAUUAAACGGAUUUUUAUCUGCCGUCUGCUAUCCCAAAUUUUACUUUUUUAUGGUUUGGUUACUGCAGACUUCUUCCCUUAAUAUUCUGAAACAUUUUUCUCUUCUGAACUUGUUAGCAAACAAAGAACGCCAAAUGGCCAUAUAACUGUGCAUUGAAAUUAAUUCAAAAAUGAAAUACUUCCACAUGCACCUUUAUUUGCACAUGAACUUUUUUUUACAAUCAAAUUUUUCAUUUAACAUUUUUUACCAAAUAAACUCAGCAAGAAAAUGAACCUUGAAUUUGACAAAUUGGUGUAGUACUGAAAGCGUGGAAAAAAACUCCUUAAAACAAAUGUUAAUUCUAAAUCCGAACCUAUUGAUUUGGUUGAAUCUUUAAGACUAACCAAUUAAAGCUUUACGUUAGAGUUUAUGCAAAUUCCUUUUUCAAUAAUGAUUGAAUACUUAAACGGAAAUAAAUAAAACCUUGAACUAAAAAUUUUCUCGUCCAUGGAAUGGGUUGAAGCCUUUAGCAUCUAGCUAUAGCCGCAUAGUUAUAAUACAGAUGCUAUUAGAUGUUUUUUUCAGGAAAAUGUAUUUGGAAACCCAUCGGUAUUAUAUACUAUAUAAUAUUAUAUUAUAUUUCUGGUUAUAGAUAAUACUCUUGACUUGACUUGGUUACAAUGGGAUCGACUUCAGUUUUUGUGUGUUACUGGUAAAUGGAAAUUACUUUCUGAGAACAUGAUAUGUGUACAGUGUACACCGCUCAGUUUACUGAACUUUCAUAAUAAUAAUAAUGUCUUUUAUUAAGUUACAUACACACAAUUAAGUAAAAAAUAAACUAAAUGACAUAUUUCAAAAUUAAAGUAAUGCAAUUUAAGGGGCGAAGUUCAGUUAGUGUAGGCGACUGCCUCCAAUUCUGCUCUUCCACUUAACCCAAUCAUUUAAUAAAUUAUUACAGAAAAGAGUUAACACAAUACACAAUGGCACAAUUUAUGACUCAAAUAAUAAUAAUACUAAAAAAAAAAAUAAAAACAAUAAAAUAAAAAAAAAAUGUGUUGAAGCGUUAAUAUACUUCCUAUGAUGGUACUAAUUAAUGCAAAUAGUUACAUUGCCUGUCAAACAUGGUCUGGCGAAUUAAUUUUUUAAAUUUAGAGGUAUUUAGUUUUUUAAGUAAGUUAUCAAUUGCGUUAUUCGCUAUACAGUAAUUAAAGGAUCUUUCAUAGAACGAUGUUUUAUGGCAAGGUGGUUUAAUUAACGAAACAAAUUUAGAAUUACUGCUAAAUUCAAUUUUAUUGUAUAGAUAAAGUGGUGUUCUGGACGUGACAAUUUUAUGAUAUAAAACAACAGAAUGUACAUAUCGCCGAUUUCCCAUAUUCAACCAAUUUAAGUCUUUUAAUUUGUGGGAUAUGUGUUCAUAUUUUCUUAUACCAUAAAUUAAUCUCAAGCGAGAGUUUUGGAUUUUUUGAAUUCUAUUUACGUCGGCCAAAUCUAAACAAGGACCGUAAAGAGCGUCGCAGUAAUUGAAAUGUGAUAGAACCAAUGCCUCACACAGUAUAGUUCUGACAUGUUGACUCAGACUGAAACGAUUACUGUUUAGUUAGACUGUUUAGUUAGAAAAAAUCCUCUGUAAGCAGUUGCACAAAAAAUACGAUUAUAUUGAUGUCUCCAAAAAUGGAAUCGAUUUCACUAAGAAAUAUUGACAGAUUUUUAGUUAUAAUUUCGGCACUUUCAUUUACUUGUCGGUUUUUUUUAAUACGUCACGAAAUACAAAGCAAAGUUUUUCUUUAACGCAUAAUAAUGAACUCGUUUGGUCAGCAUCGAUGGUAAAAUAAAAUACCUAGAGGGAGGUUCGCUCCUAAAAAUGAAAAACCAGCGAUUUGUUCAACUUCGUCACUUAAAAAAUCGUAGACCAUAACAAAUUGUAUUCAUUGGAGGCCAUUCUAAUUUUUUUUGUUUAGGGUUUUCUUAGUACCACAAUUAUAGUUACUAGGGCAUGACCUGUCGUGGCGAAUGAAGAGCGUGAUUGCUCUCCCUCAUUGUUUACUAACAUUCAAGAGAUAACAUUCCAAGAAUCUUUUCAACAUCCUUGUAGCUUAUCCCUAUCUCAACUAACAAAGAGGAAACCGCCAGCGGGUCACCUUUGUUACUAUCAACGCGCCAGUGUCUAUAAUUAUGGACGUUUCCAUAUCUGGUAUACCCAAUAUGUUAGUGUACGUUUUAAUUGGCCUAUGGUUUUCGAACGUAAGUGCCCAACAUGACUACUACCAUCAGCCUUACCCUGAUUUUCGACUAGCAGAAAACCACGAAGAGAUCGUGCUACCACACAUCAUAAAGGCACCCUGCGUAAAUGGUAGACGUAAUGGUGUACGAUGUAGGGAGGCUUUCAUUGUUCAAGAAAGAUCUUGAAAUCCAUGGAUGCCGAUGUGGAAUCCGCGAUAUCCAUAAGUCAGAAUGUAGCAUUUUAGUUAAUAGUGACGUAGAAGUUGUAGAAAUAAUGGUCGAUUUGAGAUCUGACAGUAACUAUAAUUGUUAGUUUCUGUAUCCUUCUCAAUUCGACUAUCAGUAUUACAUUAUUAUAAUUGUAGAACAGGCAUAACCAAUGACAGUAAUAGCUGGAAUUAAAUAUACUUAAUGUUUGAAAAUAUAAGGUAAAUUAUAUAUUUUGUAUUGUACCAUA